GGAGUUGAAGAGUCCCACAAUAGAACGAAACGGCCGUCCAGUAC
This 44-nucleotide non-coding RNA is filed under the name Schistosoma mansoni. Lineage: Eukaryota; Metazoa; Platyhelminthes; Trematoda; Strigeidida; Schistosomatidae. The record is from RNAcentral.